Molecule: ribosomal RNA, 253 nt
Filed under: uncultured bacterium
Lineage: Bacteria
Description: partial 16S ribosomal RNA
Rfam family: Bacterial small subunit ribosomal RNA
Source: RNAcentral
UACAGAGGGGGCAAGCGUUGUCCGGAAUUACUGGGCGUACAGCGCGCGCAGGCGGUUCAGGACGUGCCGUGUGACAAUCGUCGGCUUAACCGACGGAGGCCAGGGUACACGACUGAACUGGAGGCAGAGAGAGGGAUGUGGAAUACCCGGUGGAGCGGUGAAAUGCGUAGAGAUCGGGUGGAACACCAGGGGCGAAGGCGGCAUCCUGGCUCUGUUCUGACGCUGAGGCGCGAGAGCGUGGGGAGCGAACAGG